AGAGUUUGAUUAUGGCUCAGGAUGAACGCUGGCGGCGUGCUUAACACAUGCAAGUCGAACGAAGAUACUUAAAAUGAGAGCUUCGGCAGGAUUUUUAUUUAUCUUAGUGGCGGACGGGUGAGUAACGUGUGGGCAACCUGCCCUAUACUGGGGAAUAAUCACUGGAAACGGUGACUAAUACCGCAUGUCAUUACGGAAGGGCAUCCUUCUGUAAGAAAAGGAGUAAUUCGGUAUAGGAUGGGCCCGCAUCUGAUUAGCUAGUUGGUGAGAUAACAGCCCACCAAGGCGACGAUCAGUAGCCGACCUGAGAGGGUGAUCGGCCACAUUGGGACUGAGACACGGCCCAA
Molecule: ribosomal RNA, 347 nt
Filed under: uncultured bacterium
Lineage: Bacteria
Description: bacterial SSU rRNA
Rfam family: Bacterial small subunit ribosomal RNA
Source: RNAcentral